RNAcentral lists this long non-coding RNA (1948 nucleotides) under Gossypium barbadense (sea-island cotton). RNAcentral describes it as "long non-coding RNA (GBAR_LNC021830)". The record is from RNAcentral. Lineage: Eukaryota; Viridiplantae; Streptophyta; Magnoliopsida; Malvales; Malvaceae.
AAAAAUAAUAUGAAGCCUAUACAUGGUGGCAAAUUGUUACGCGACACAUUUCUGCUAAAACAAUAGACUGGAAGUUCUUUCAGUCAGAGUUUUAGAAGAAGUACAUCGGGGAACUAUAUUUAGAGGAUAGAAAAUAAGAAUUUCUUUUGUUAAAACAGGGAGAUCUCUCCGUAGUGGAAUAUACACGACUUAGCAAGUAUGCUGUGGAGCUUGUUUCGAUUGAAGAAGAAAAUUGUAAACGCUUUCUAUGUGGAAUGCGAGAUGAGAUCAGGAUUCAAUUAGUUGCAUUGAAAAUUAAGGAGUUUGUUGAUUUGUCCAAACGGGGAAAAAUGGUAGAACAAUAUUUGGGAUUAAGCAAGAAGUCUGAACCUUCUCGUGUUACAGGAAAAUGACUCGAUGCUCUUAGUUCACAUUCAGUACCAAAACGAACUAAAGAAUCUCGUGAGCAUAGGAAGACAGUUGCAAGAUCAACUACAUCAAACAGAAUGUGAGAUCACCAACGCACCAUUUAUGUUUGCAGUGUAAAAGGGUUGAAUAGAAAUUCCGAGUUGUGAACAUUGUGGGAAGAAACACUAGGGAAAAUGCUAGAAAUUGACUAAAAGGUGUUUUCGAUGUGGAUCACUAGAACACUUCGCUCGUGAAAGUCUGACAAACGAAAAUGAUAGACCUGAUGUUACACAGAGAGCUGUAUCAACAGUUAGGGGUCAAGGUUUUAGCUGAGGUGGUUAGUGUAAUACCUAAUUUUGCCUGGGCCCAAUUUAAAAAACCAAAAUAAUAAAUCAAAUGUCCAAGGUCCAGAUUACAAAGUCAACAAAAAAUAUAUAAUCUAUAAACCCAAAAUUCAAAGUUAUCCUAGCCCAAAUACUUAGCCCAAAUACCUAGCCCAAUUGCUAAACCUAAUGGAGCCCAAUACCAAAACAAACUGCAUGCAAAGACCCCAGAAGUUUCGGCAGCUGCUUCUCCACGUUCGUCUCCACGGCCUCCGUACCUGCGAAAAAAGUGGAUCCAAACAGCAAACAAACCAGCAUACAACGUAGCAAUAACAGAAACAUAGCAAAUAAUAGCGGAAAAUACAAGAAAAAAUGGAAAAAAGGAGUUUUCGAGAAUUUCUUUUUUCUGUUAUUUCGGCUAUAUAAAGCCAAAUUAAAUUUGAAAAAAGGGGCUGAUUUUAUAGAAAGAAAUACAGAGAAAAAGAUUGAAAAUAGAUAUACAAAAAAAAAGAGAAAAAGAAAAGAAAAGUUUGAAUAAAAGGUGAUUUUCUGUUUUUAUUUUGGUGUUCAUCGUUCUUUUUUUUUAUGUUUUUAUUUUUAUGCAUAAAAUAAAAGGAAGAGAAGAAAGAAAGCUUACCUUUGCCCUCGGAUCUACUCCAACGGGGUUCAAAAACCCAACUCGGUGAGCAUCCGGCCACCGAUCACGGUGGAGCCGCGGUGGAAGGAAAGUGACGCGGCGGCGGCUCAGGAAAAAGUUAGAAACCCUAGCAGAGAAAGCUAGGGUUGGUUUGUUUUUUAUAAAAAAAUGGCAGAAAAUGGAAUGUUUUAAAAAAAAUAUUGAUUUUAUAACAGGUACGAAACGACGUCGUUUAGGGCCUGUUUCAAUAGCCUCAAAACAGCGCAGUUCUGGCAAUGAUCUGCGCAGUGACCCGACCCGAGGGAAGGAUCCGCACGUUUUCUCCUAAGGGUCAAUUUCGUAUUUGAUCCUCCUCCUUUUGUGGCGUGUUCAAAUCAACUUUUUUUAUUUUUUUGAAUUUUGGCUCUGCAUUUUAUUUUUGUUUCAUUUUAGUCCUAUCACAGCGCUGCGUUUUGGGAGGAUGGGGAAUAUUUCCCAAUUAGUCCCCCAUGUUAUUCGCGCGCUGUAUUGUGGCCCUCAACUUUAUUUUAUUUUCAUUUCUUUCCUUUCAAUUUUGUUUUAAGUGCGAUUUAACCCUCAUUAACUUAAUUUAAUGUACUCG